This is a long non-coding RNA of Phragmites australis (common reed), 679 nucleotides long. RefSeq lists it as uncharacterized. The transcript is spliced from 3 exons. The record is from RefSeq and is a predicted model, not a curated record. Lineage: Eukaryota; Viridiplantae; Streptophyta; Magnoliopsida; Poales; Poaceae.
CCAGCUACUGCAACUUGUUCCCUUCACUUCUGAAUUCGGCUACUUUUAUUUAUGCUUCCUUUGACUUGAUUUGGUGAUCUAUAGCAAUAAGUUUCUACAUGUUCCACUCGCAGCUGCAAGCUUGGUGAAAGCAAGAUCAUCCUCUGUGAAGAAGGUUGCAAGCACAAGUUGCAGAAGCUGCAGCUUAACUAUCCAAGUGAUGAUGUAACCUUUGCCCUCAAGGAAUCCCCAGAUCUUCCUUGGUUGCCCAAGUACUUGUGAAGCUCAUACUGCUGUGAUCGUAUUUUCCUAGCGUUGCAUAUCUGUCCUUUUGGGGAGCAACAACUCUGACAAUUUUAUCUGCAUGCCUUGCAAUCACACAGAUCCCAUGGUCGAUCUCAUGGGUAUUCUAGCCUCCGAUCUGCGAAGGAACCGGCGAAGGAUGCCGUUGCACCGAACGAAUCACAUGCGUUUCUUCAGUUGCACACCAGAACUGUAAGAUGUGGAUAAACUUGUACGCCUGGAAUUUCGCCACAUUUGAAGUAUGUUGCAUUGAAUCUCCUCGUCUGAGCUGAUCCAACGGAUUUGUAGCUCCACUAUUUGAAACUAUGAACUCUGUAUUGUAAGAACAUUGUGAGAUUUCUUUUGGAAAAAAAACAUUGAGAAAUCAAAGAUGUACUAUCGCCGGUGUUGUAAGAAC